RNAcentral lists this unclassified non-coding RNA (338 nucleotides) under soil metagenome. RNAcentral describes it as "partial contains 5.8S ribosomal RNA, internal transcribed spacer 2, and large subunit ribosomal RNA". The stretch from base 1 to 121 matches the Rfam family "5.8S ribosomal RNA", at positions 35 to 154 of the family's 154-position model. The record is from RNAcentral.
GAUGAAGAACGUAGCGAAAUGCGAUAAGUAAUGCGAAUUGCAGAAUUUCCGUGAGUCAUCGAAUCUUUGAACGCACAUUGCGCCCGCCAGUAUUCUGGCGGGCAUGCCUGUUCGAGCGUCAUUUCAACCAUCAAGCCCCCGGGCUUGUGUUGGGGACCUGCGGCUGCCCGCAGGCCCUGAAAACCAGUGGCGGGCUCGCUGUCACACCGAGCGUAGUAGCAUCAUCUCGCUCAGGGCGUGCUGCGGGUUCCGGCCGUUAAAAAGCCUCUAAUACCCAAGGUUGACCUCGGAUCAGGUAGGAAGACCCGCUGAACUUAAGCAUAUCAAUAAGCGGAGGA